RNAcentral lists this unclassified non-coding RNA (676 nucleotides) under Hevea brasiliensis (rubber tree). The record is from RNAcentral. Lineage: Eukaryota; Viridiplantae; Streptophyta; Magnoliopsida; Malpighiales; Euphorbiaceae.
AAGCAAACCAAGGUUUACACAAAUACUCAACAGAAAAGGCAAGAAAAACAAAUCUCAGGUGUCAGGCAAUUUCAUCUGCACCAGUUCAGCAGGUGGCCUCAGAGUACAAACCAUUUCAUUUGUCUUCCCAAAAUAUACCUGAUCCAAGGAGUUUCUCAGUUUACCCUCCAUCUCUUCAAUCAUCUUUCCCAUGUUACACAGAUGACCCUCUGAGACAGAGAGCUUCAUACUCAUCUGUCUUCUAAUUGAUCCAGACAAAUUGAAUGAGCCUGAUGACUCAUUGUCAGUAGUCAAGGUCAGCAUCACUGUACUAGUCAGGCAGUACUGGACAAUUUCUUCCUCUUCUGGUCCCACCUCAAUAACAUGUAUGGCGUCCCAGGCUCCUUCCUGGAGAUACCCCCUUCUACCAUGUCCAGUCUUGGAGCCAUCUUUCUUUAUUAAAAAGCAAGCAACAAAACCUUCAUUUUCAUCUUCCCACAUAUAAACUGAUGAGAUGCCGCCUUCAUAGUACUGGUCACGAUAGAUAGCAAAGACUUCAUUUGCUUCAACCUCAAGUUUCCUCAGCUCCAGAGAAGGUUGAGGCGCAUCUUCUAAUGGUGGAUGAUACUUAUUUGACCAAGGAGACCUAUAUGAAUCAGCAUCUCUGUUAUACUCACAGAGGAUGAAUUCUUUGCCG